CCUACGGGGGGCAGCAGUGAGGAAUAUUGGUCAAUGGGCGCGAGCCUGAUCCAGCCAAGUAGCGUGAAGGAUGACUGCCCUACGGGUUGUAAACUUCUUUUAUAAAGGAAUAAAGUGAGGCACGUGUGCCUUUUUGUAUGUACUUUAUGAAUAAGGAUCGGCUAACUCCGUGCCAGCAGCCGCGGUAAUACGGAGGAUCCGAGCGUUAUCCGGAUUUAUUGGGUUUAAAGGGAGCGUAGAUGGGUUGUUAAGUCAGUUGUGAAAGUUUGCGGCUCAACCGUAAAAUUGCAAUUGAUACUGGCAGUCUUGAGUACAGUUGAGGUAGGCGGAAUUCGUGGUGUAGCGGUGAAAUGCUUAGAUAUCACGAAGAACUCCGAUUGCGAAGGCAGCUUACUAAACUGCCACUGACAUUGAUGCUCGAAAGUGUGGGUAUCAAACAGGAUUAGAUACCCGAGUAGUC
This 460-nucleotide ribosomal RNA is filed under the name uncultured bacterium. RNAcentral's name for it is "partial 16S ribosomal RNA". It matches the Rfam family "Bacterial small subunit ribosomal RNA", at positions 338 to 795 of the family's 1533-position model. The record is from RNAcentral.